GAUCAUGGCUCGGGACGAACGCUGGCGGCGCGCCUAACACAUGCAAGUCGAACGAGCGAGAGAGAGCUUGCUUUCUCAAGCGAGUGGCGAACGGGUGAGUAACGCGUGAGGAACCUGCCUCAAAGAGGGGGACAACAGUUGGAAACGACUGCUAAUACCGCAUAAGCCCACGACCCGGCAUCGGGUAGAGGGAAAAGGAGCAAUCCGCUUUGAGAUGGCCUCGCGUCCGAUUAGCUAGUUGGUG
This 244-nucleotide ribosomal RNA is filed under the name uncultured bacterium. RNAcentral's name for it is "partial 16S ribosomal RNA". It matches the Rfam family "Bacterial small subunit ribosomal RNA", at positions 15 to 254 of the family's 1533-position model. The record is from RNAcentral.